GUGACUAUGCAAAUACUAAUUAUAUCCUUUUGCCACAGAAAAUUGAAGACAACAGACAUCCCAAUCACUGUGUCAAAAGCUGCACCGGACUUCUGCACAGUAUAUGUCAUCAGCAAAGGAAAGGUUCAUUCUGUACGGUCUGCUAGUGCUCCACCACCUGCAAAACCUCCACCUCAAAUUCAGUUGCCUAACAUACGCAACCAUAUUCCUGCUUCAGUUGAUGUACAUCUGACUGGCCAAACUCCCAGAGGUUUGCUUUUGUAACUCGCCUCAUCCUUCUUCCCAUUUUAACUGGGUUUUGUCAUUGCUCACAUGAGUUUAUGUCAAUCUCUUUAACAGCCUCAGAGAGGUCAUCAUAUAUGUCAAAUGGCUUCCAAGAAGACUCAGAUAUGAUCAAGUAAGUUCAACAGAAAGGGGUGAUUAACAAUUUAUAGUUAAUAGAGGCUACUUCUAACAUCUAAAAUGGAACCCCGAUGAGAGGACUAACCUGAUAACAAUUCAAACA
RNAcentral lists this unclassified non-coding RNA (505 nucleotides) under Hevea brasiliensis (rubber tree). The record is from RNAcentral. Lineage: Eukaryota; Viridiplantae; Streptophyta; Magnoliopsida; Malpighiales; Euphorbiaceae.